This 207-nucleotide ribosomal RNA is filed under the name uncultured Glomus. RNAcentral describes it as "partial 18S ribosomal RNA". It matches the Rfam family "Eukaryotic small subunit ribosomal RNA", at positions 569 to 778 of the family's 1831-position model. Lineage: Eukaryota; Fungi; Glomeromycota; Glomeromycetes; Glomerales; Glomeraceae. The record is from RNAcentral.
AGCAGCUGCGGUAAUUCCAGCUCCAAUAGCGUAUAUUAAAGUUGUUGCAGUUAAAAAGCUCGUAGUUGAAUUUCGGGGUUAGUAGGUUGGUCAUGCCUCUGGUAUGUACUGGUCUCACUGAUUCCUCCUUCCUGAUGAGCCGUAAUGCCAUUAAUUUGGUGUUGCGGGGAAUUUGGACUGUUACUUUGAAAAAAUUAGAGUGUACUA